GAAAUGCGAUAAGUAAUGUGAAUUGCAGAAUUCAGUGAAUCAUCGAAUCUUUGAACGCACAUUGCGCCCGCCAGUACUCUGGCGGGCAUGCCUGUUCGAGCGUCAUUUCAACCAUCAAGCCCCCGGCUUGUUUUGGGGACCUGCGGCUGCCCGCAGGCCCUGAAAAACAGUGGCGGGCUCGCUGUCACACCGAGCGUAGUAGCAUACAUUCUCGCUCAGGGCGUGCUGCGGGUUCCGGCCGUUAAACGACCUUCAUAACCCAAGGUUGACCUCGGAUCAGGUAGGAAGACCCGCUGAACUUAAGC
This 305-nucleotide unclassified non-coding RNA is filed under the name plant metagenome. RNAcentral's name for it is "partial contains 5.8S ribosomal RNA, internal transcribed spacer 2, and large subunit ribosomal RNA". The stretch from base 1 to 105 matches the Rfam family "5.8S ribosomal RNA", at positions 50 to 154 of the family's 154-position model. The record is from RNAcentral.